Polypterus senegalus (gray bichir) is the source of this 2088-nucleotide long non-coding RNA. RefSeq lists it as uncharacterized. Lineage: Eukaryota; Metazoa; Chordata; Cladistia; Polypteriformes; Polypteridae. The transcript is spliced from 2 exons. The record is from RefSeq and is a predicted model, not a curated record.
UUCAUUGCUCCAGGCAGCAAGCUAAGUCUGACCUUGUUCUGGGCUCCUGCAAAUGGCUUUUCGACUGCAGUGUGGUUUCGAAAUUGAUAUGUUUACAUACAGCACAAUUAUUUAUCAAACCAAGUCCUGCAGGUAUGAAAAUUAUGUGGCUUGAUUCUGAAUUCCCCUAAACAUUGCCAAGGACAAAUGAGCAGGAGCUGAAAGGGCUCUCUCUUUCCCACUUACACCUACUGCAAGACAAAUCUCCUGUGUACUGUAGUUAUGAUGUGAGCCUGCUUUUGGUCUCCUUGAUUGCCACUAAUGAAGUGGCAUUCCAAGAAAGCACAAGUCGAGAAUUAUCAGCACUGGGAUGUCCUCUGCUAUAACCACACAGGUCUAUAAAUCCUGCAGAAUUCACUGAAUAAAUUGCACUGCAUUUUGCUGCAAAGAAAGCUCUGCAUCACUGUAAACGUUUCGAAGCCUUGUUGGAGCACAGAGACGGCUGAAGUGACUUGCUCAUGGUUACACAGUGUCACUACCAGGAUUUGAACCCACCACCUGAGGGUUUGAAGUCCAAUGACCUAACCACUCCACUGCCCCACACUGCCUGCCUGACUGAAAUCAUCUAAAGUCUAUCAGGGACUCAGUACAAAAUAAUAUCAACAAGCACCAACCAUACCUUUCAGACUGCCUUACACUCAGCCCAUUUUGGAGGAAAACGUGUGUUUAAUUCUCAAAUAGUUAUGGGUUUAUAGUUACUCAUAUCCCUGUAAUAACAUCAUACUAGAUGGGAUAAGAUUAUACUCCUAUAAAUCUGGAUUAUCCUGGACUAUAUGAGUCCUCUUGUGAAAGACCACUUGGACCCACUGCACCACCCUGUCGGACAAAGAUUGAAAUAUAAAAUACAGUGAUCUGUCUGGACCACAACUCUUAUUCCUGUCUGGCAGCACUGUGACGAUUACAUUUUUUGAUUCCUCCAGUGCCUUCCAUACCAUCCAGCCAUCUAUGUUAAGGGGUAAACUCAGAGAUAUGCAGGUGGAUGAGCCUAUGGUGUCCUUGAUAAUAGACUCCUGCAAGGCAGACUGCGUCUCUGAUGAGGAUGUGAGUGAUACUGGAGCACCACAAGGGGAAAAAAAAUCCUAUCUCCUUUUCUCUUCACCCUGUGCUGAGAAAAUGAUUAUGAAUAUAACACCAGGUAACGUGACUGCAGAAAUUCUGAAGAUUCUCCUUUUAUUGAGUACAUUGGCAAGAGGGAUAAGACAGAGUAAAGAUGUCAGGCGGAGAACUUUGUUUCUUGGUGCAAAGAGAAUUUUCUGCAAUGUAACAUCAGCAAAGCCAAGGAACUGGUUAUUGACUUUCACAGCAGGCUAGAGCCUCUAAUCCCUGACACUAUUUAGGGAGUGCAUAUGGAGGUGGGCCACUCCUAGAAGUACAUCAAUGACAGAUUGAAUUGUUCUUGUAGCACAGAGGGACUCUAUAAGAAAGGGCAGAGCAGGCUCUUUUUUUGUUAGGAGACUGCUUUCGUGUUGGUAGUGACACAUCCUUCACAUCUCUUAUAACUCUGUGAUGGCCAGUGCAGUUUUCUACAUUGUGGUGUGCUGGGCAUAUAACAUCACUUUAAAAGUGGCCCACUGAGUCAACAAGCUAAAUAAGAAAGUGUGCUUAGUUAUAGAAUGCACUGUCUAUUCCUGGAGGCAGUAGUGGAGGAGAAAAUUAAAAGAAAGCCAUUAUGAACAAUGCUGCACACGCUAUCACUGAGUACAUUUAGCCAUUGAAUUAUUCAGUAAAAGUGUGUCAAGAAACGCUACUGGGGCUCCUUCAUAACAACAGCAAUAUGCCUGCAUAAUGCCUCACUGAGACCGUGAUUUUUAUUUUUAUCUGAGUCAGACAUUUUCAUCUCUUUCUUUUAAGUAAUCCUGGUGUGAAUUUUAGAUGAAUUGUUGUUGUUUGUUAUAAUAUUACCUGCAUUUAUAUGUUGAGCUUCUGUAAAAAGCUAAAAUUCCCCCUUAGGACAAAUUAAAGUAUUAUCUAUGUGAUCUUUGACACCAGAACACUUGCAAAUGCUUAUAUUACAAACUGCAAUAAUCCUAAUAAAUCCCAUAUACAUCA